Molecule: ribosomal RNA, 449 nt
Filed under: uncultured Desulfobulbus sp.
Lineage: Bacteria; Pseudomonadati; Thermodesulfobacteriota; Desulfobulbia; Desulfobulbales; Desulfobulbaceae
Description: bacterial SSU rRNA
Rfam family: Bacterial small subunit ribosomal RNA
Source: RNAcentral
UAUGUGGUUUAAUUCGAUGCAACGCGAAGAACCCUACCUGGUCUUGACAUCCCGGAGACCCUUAGGAAACUAGGGGUGCUUCCAUCUGGAAGAAUCUGGAGACAGGUGCUGCAUGGCUGUCGUCAGCUCGUGUCGUGAGAUGUUGGGUUAAGUCCCGCAACGAGCGCAACCCUUGCCUUUAGUUGCCAGCAGUUCGGCUGGGCACUCUAAAGGGACUGCCGGUGUUAAACCGGAGGAAGGUGGGGAUGACGUCAAGUCCUCAUGGCCUUUAUGACCAGGGCUACACACGUACUACAAUGGCCGAUACAAAGGGCAGCGACACUGCGAGGUGAAGCCAAUCCCGUAAAAUCGGUCUCAGUCCGGAUUGGAGUCUGCAACUCGACUCCAUGAAGUUGGAAUCGCUAGUAAUCGUGGAUCAGCAUGCCACGGUGAAUACGUUCCCGGGCCUU